AGUGCCCCGCCCAGCAUACAGUAUAAAUACAGUGCUCAGCCUUGCCAUCUCCCACAGAGCGUGCCAGACCAGAAACAACUCCGCUCCAGAGAGAGUAAAGACGCAAAGAUGAAGGUGUCAUAUGUGGCCGCUUUCCUCAUCGGGCUCCUCUCCCUGGAGAGCACCAGAGCGGCUCCGUUGUUGUGGUCUGUGGGCUCUGGUAGCGUAAAGACCGGUGACGUGGGCCACGGCAGCUUUAACGACAACAGCAAAAACAACAAAUUCUGGUCAGUGGGCUCUGGGAGCGUAAACACCGGUGACGUGGGCCACGGCAGCUUUAACGACAACAGCAAAAACAACCAAUUCUGGUCAGUGGACUCUGGUAGCGUAAACACCGGUAACGUGGGCCACGGCAGCUUUAACGACAACAGUAUAAACAACAAAUUCUUGCCAGUGAAAAACAACAAAUUCUGGUCAGUGGGCUCUGGUAGCGUAAACACUGGAGACGUGGGCCACGGCAGCUUUAACGACAACAGUAUAAACAACAAAAUCUUGCCAGUGAAAAAGAACAAAUUCUGGUCAGUGGGCUCUGGGAGCGUAAACACCGGUGACGUGGGCCACGGCAGCUUUAACGACAACAGCAAAAACAACAAAUUCUGGUCAGUGGACUCUGGUAGCGUAAACACCGGUGACGUAGGCCAUGGCAGCUUUAACGACAACAGCAAAAACAACAAAUUAUGCUUAGUGGGCUCCGGAAGCAAAAAGACCGGCAAAGUGGUCGACAGCAGCUUUGACAACAAAAGCGUAAGUAGUAGAGAUUAUCUCUCCAUGCUAUGUAGCUUCACACACAUCUGUGAACAGACCGUGUUUCAGCUAGUUUGAUGUCUCGUAACCUUUGCCUGCGAGGAACACUGGCUGCAUUUGCCCAUGUUGUAAAUGCAGCAUGGAGAGUCCUCCCACUCCACAGGCUCCUCCCCACAGCUCCCAUUGAACGGUUUCCAGACAAUGGGAGUGCCGAUCUGUUGCUUAUAGUGGGGGCAUAGCUUCAUGGCCCCUCUUCCUAGAAGCUGGACCUGCUGCUGGCUGCUUCCGGGGCGCAACGCGGUGUCAGAAC
RNAcentral lists this long non-coding RNA (1093 nucleotides) under Gopherus agassizii (Agassiz's desert tortoise). RNAcentral's name for it is "lncRNA (ENSGAGG00000008022.1)". Lineage: Eukaryota; Metazoa; Chordata; Testudines; Testudinidae. The record is from RNAcentral.